This 264-nucleotide long non-coding RNA is filed under the name Mytilus galloprovincialis (Mediterranean mussel). Lineage: Eukaryota; Metazoa; Mollusca; Bivalvia; Mytilida; Mytilidae. The record is from RNAcentral.
CUUCGGUUUUUUGUAACAGAGUUUAAUUUUUAUAAAGUUUGCCUCCCUCGACUUUUUUUUAAUCUUGAUUCAAUAUCCAUUGACAAGGGUUUUAGACCGCACGCGUACAGACUGAACAUGGAUUUGGUUUUAUAUUAGUUUUGUCAUUUUUCUUUUGUUAUUAAGGUCAAUUUAUUUUGUUCAAAUUCAUUUUAUUUGAUCAUGUUUUCUAAAAACUUACCAAAAGAAAUACAAAACUUUAACAUUUUACAAUGAUACAUAAAG